UACGGGGGGGGCAAGCGUUGUUCGGAAUUACUGGGCGUAAAGGGCGCGUAGGCGGUUCGCUAAGUUGAACGUGAAAACUCUGGGCUUAACCCAGAGCCUGCAUUCAAUACUGGCGGGCUAGAGUUCUGGAGGGGAUAGCGGAAUUCCUGGUGUAGCGGUGAAAUGCGUAGAUAUCAGGAGGAACACCGGUGGCGAAGGCGGCUAUCUGGACAGAGUCUGACGCUGAGGCGCGAAAGCUAGGGGAGCAAAC
This 250-nucleotide ribosomal RNA is filed under the name uncultured bacterium. RNAcentral describes it as "partial 16S ribosomal RNA". It matches the Rfam family "Bacterial small subunit ribosomal RNA", at positions 524 to 773 of the family's 1533-position model. The record is from RNAcentral.